Molecule: ribosomal RNA, 294 nt
Filed under: Triticum aestivum (bread wheat)
Lineage: Eukaryota; Viridiplantae; Streptophyta; Magnoliopsida; Poales; Poaceae
Description: partial small subunit ribosomal RNA
Source: RNAcentral
AUGAAUAUCCUUAGUUGGAACUGCCGGGGAGGCGGGAACCCUCGGACAGUUCGUGAUCUUGUGAGUCUUGUUCAGACUCAUCUCCCGAGCAUUGUUUUUCUUUGUGAAACUAGACAGACAAAAAAUAAAAUGAAGAGAUGUCGCUCUCGUUUAGGUUUAAGUGGUUUUGAGGCUUUAGAUAGUGAUGGCCUUAGCGGUGGCUUGGCUUUGUUUUGGCAUGAGUCUUUGAGUCUUGAUGUAAAAACUAUCAAUAAAAGAUAUAUUGAUGCGUACGUGACGACGAUGCCGGGAGAG